Long non-coding RNA from Eriocheir sinensis (Chinese mitten crab), 948 nucleotides. RefSeq lists it as uncharacterized. The record is from RefSeq and is a predicted model, not a curated record. NCBI's taxonomy places the organism in Eukaryota, Metazoa, Arthropoda, Malacostraca, Decapoda, Varunidae. The transcript has 7 exons.
CACAAUUAUUUCAGGGUCCCUCCGGGUGAUGUCUGGGCGGCCGCCUUGUUGCUGCAUGGUUGGCAUCCUCAACGCCUCCUGCCGCCAUCUCCCGCUCACUGAUCUGCCACAGUCAUUCAGGACAUGCCGAGGAGGAGUAAAGGAGGAGAGAAGAAAAGACAAGAAAGUCGAGAGAAUAAGAAUAAGAAACAAAAGCCUACAAAGUUCUUCUCUUACAAAGGUGACCGAUGGAGCUGGAAAGUGGUCUCGAUAUGCUGCUUCGUUUGUGAGGGUUCGUUGCUUCGAUGGUGGGCUGGGUCGUCGAUAAAGGCACAUUCAUUCCUGACCCGCCGUGGUAGCCGUGAAGACCUCCUCCCCACCACCACAGAGAAAGGGUUAAAACGAGCCAAUCAGGAUUAAUAGGCGCGCCUCUCCGCAGCACCGGCGGGCGGAGUGGCCGCAGCUGCCUGGCGGGGAGUUUUAAUGCCGCGGCGCCGCUGGGAAUCCCCCGCCGAGCAGCGCGGGAUGAAGGCAAGGCGGGGCGUUACAUCACUCACCACCUCCACCUCUGAUGGGCCCCCUGAGCAAGCCUCCAUGCAGCUACUCUAGCCAUCUCACCGUGGGCUAGACCAAUCCGUCGAGUGACUGCCUGGUGACGAACUACAUUACCAAGCGUCAAGUAAAACUUGUUGAAAAUUAUCACCUCGGUUUUCUCGGAGCCUGCAAAAAUAUCUGGUAGCUUCUGACCAUGAGCCUCUUCUCCUGUAACACCCUCCAGGCCUGUACAGAUGUGGCUUGUUAGGCCUGGCAGCAUCCUCCCUGAACCACACCUCGAAGGAGCAAGGACACCAAGUUGAAUAUUCCUACUCCCUUGGUGGUACCUUAGGAAAAUAUUAAAAAAUUAGUGUUGCAAGUUCUCUGUAAUAUAAAGGGUUCAGAAAGCUGCAUAAUAAACACAUUCCUGGGACA